This 229-nucleotide ribosomal RNA is filed under the name uncultured bacterium. Its description in RNAcentral is "partial 16S ribosomal RNA". It matches the Rfam family "Bacterial small subunit ribosomal RNA", at positions 568 to 796 of the family's 1533-position model. The record is from RNAcentral.
UACGUAGGCGGAAAAUUAAGUCAGUAGUGAAAUCCUGCAGCUUAACUGUAGAACUGUUAUUGAUACUGGUUUUCUUGAAUUUAGUUGAGGUAGGCGGAAUGUGUAAUGUAGCGGUGAAAUGCUUAGAUAUUACACAGAACACCGAUUGCGAAGGCAGCUUACUAAACUAUGAUUGACGCUGAGGUACGAAAGCGUGGGGAGCGAACAGGAUUAGAUACCCGCGUAGUCC